CAUUAUUUAACAGCGCCAGAUCUGUUUUACAGAUGACGAGGAAAAGAGCUUAUCGAAAUAUUCGGCGGGUGGCUCUAGGGUCUGCACUCUAAAGACAAGAACAAAAACAAGCUGCAAAGUUUGUAACAAAAAUCUUGUCGCGCAGUUAG
Molecule: non-coding RNA, 149 nt
Filed under: Tetragenococcus halophilus
Lineage: Bacteria; Bacillati; Bacillota; Bacilli; Lactobacillales; Enterococcaceae
Also listed under: 1 other name
Description: GlcN6P sequence
Rfam family: glmS glucosamine-6-phosphate activated ribozyme aptamer
About the family: This entry contains a glucosamine-6-phosphate activated ribozyme that is found in the mRNA for GlmS.
Source: RNAcentral